UAACACAUGCAAGUCGAGCGAAGCACUAAGACGGAUUCUUCGGAUUGAAGUCUUUGUGACUGAGCGGCGGACGGGUGAGUAACGCGUGGGUAACCUGCCUCAUACAGGGGGAUAACAGUUAGAAAUGACUGCUAAUACCGCAUAAGCGCACAGGACCGCAUGGUCUGGUGUGAAAAACUCCGGUGGUAUGAGAUGGACCCGCGUCUGAUUAGCUAGUUGGAGGGGUAACGGCCCACCAAGGCGACGAUCAGUAGCCGGCCUGAGAGGGUGAACGGCCACAUUGGGACUGAGACACGGCCCAGACUCCUACGGGAGGCAGCAGUGGGGAAUAUUGCACAAUGGGGGGAACCCUGAUGCAGCGACGCCGCGUGAAGGAAGAAGUAUCUCGGUAUGUAAACUUCUAUCAGCAGGGAAGAAAAUGACGGUACCUGACUAAGAAGCCCCGGCUAACUACGUGCCAUCAGCCGCGGUAAUACGUAGGGGGCAAGCGUUAUCCGGAUUUACUGGGUGUAAAGGGAGCGUAGACGGAAGAGCAAGUCUGAUGUGAAAGGCUGGGGCUUAACCCCAGGACUGCAUUGGAAACUGUUGUUCUAGAGUGCCGGAGAGGUAAGCGGAAUUCCUAGUGUAGCGGUGAAAUGCGUAGAUAUUAGGAGGAACACCAGUGGCGAAGGCGGCUUACUGGACGGUA
This 688-nucleotide ribosomal RNA is filed under the name uncultured Lachnospiraceae bacterium. RNAcentral describes it as "bacterial SSU rRNA". It matches the Rfam family "Bacterial small subunit ribosomal RNA", at positions 49 to 738 of the family's 1533-position model. Lineage: Bacteria; Bacillati; Bacillota; Clostridia; Lachnospirales; Lachnospiraceae. The record is from RNAcentral.